Molecule: non-coding RNA, 2789 nt
Organism: Pimephales promelas (fathead minnow)
Lineage: Eukaryota; Metazoa; Chordata; Actinopteri; Cypriniformes; Leuciscidae
Source: RefSeq, a predicted model, not a curated record
GACUCAAAAGAAUGAUUCAAGCAAAAUCAGGCAUCGCUCGGUGAGCGUGUGGUGUCUUUACGCUGUUCUACUUUGAAAAGAACGCAGUGAGUCUACUUUUCAUUAUUGAUCAGUCUGAAGUUUAACUUUUAUCACCGUGAUCGCCAUCUUUAGCUGAAAAGUUGUUCAUCCGCGACUUUGACACUCAAGCACUCAGGUGUCCGUUCCGAUACAAGUAUGACUUCCACCAUGACUAGCAUUGUACAUAGUGUGACAGAUGUUGCCGCAAAUACUACAGCUGCUACACCACAAACAGACUCGACUGUAAUAGGAGUGGUAAUUGCCCUGAUCCUGGUGACCCUCGCUCUCUGUGGAUUCCUGUUGUACCGAUACCUGUGCCACAGUAAGGGUGUUUACAGAACUGCAGGUGAGCCGGCGCCAGGAGUAGACCCAGAACAAGUCUAUAAUGACACCGUCACAGACAACAAGAAGGAAUACUUCAUCUGAACUGCUUAGCAUCAUAGGGAUUCGACCAAUGAUCUGGCUAAAAAUGCAUGGAUUGCUUCAGACAUCUAAAUAGUCAAUGUAGAGAGGUUUAUAUGCAAGGACAUAUGGGACAUAAGCCACUAGCCUGUGCUGUGAGGAAGAAUGCUUAGUUGAAUGGAUACUGUUUGAGUUCAGUUUGAGCCAUAAGUAAAAUGAGCUGUUUAUUUAUGAUGUCAAUAAGCUCACCAUCAAUUUUGGUAUGGUAAAGUUACUCUCAGUUACUGGGACAAUCUUCUUCUUUUUUUGUUAUAAAAUUGUUAUGCCUGUACAUAGUUUAUAGUCCAAUCCAAACUAUGUAUUCGCUACUUCAGCAGAAAUUACACAGUUCAUAUGCAUGAGUUAUAUUAUCAGGUAUUAUUAGAAGUCUGCUUACAUAAGUGGUAAAUGCUAAACAUUAGAGGCACCGUACAAACAAGAUUUUGAGUCACUUAGAAGUCACUUAGUGUUCAUUUGUGGCUUUACAAAUUUCUUUUUUCUCUUUGACCAUUUAGCCUGGCUUUUUUUAUUAUUUAUUAAUGGCAGCAUUUUUAGAUUUUUUAUGUUUUAUAAUUCAAGUUGUACAAAGCCAUGCUGUAACGGUGCCAAAUAUAAUUAUCUUUUUCAUUAUUUGUAAAACAGACAGAUGCUGAUCAUAAUGUCAAACACGUAUGAUACUGUAUAUUUUUCUGUGCAGGGUUACAUUUUUAUCUUAAGAAAAUGAAUGUAAUUUAUAUUGGAUUUUGAUUCUUUUUUUAUUGCACUAUCAAUACGUUACUGUGGUUAAUGAAGAUAACACCAUGUCAAAUACAAGUGGCAUGUUAGUUCAAAUUUGCUAGUAAAACUUAAUUUAAUUUGUCUACAAGACAUCCAUGCAACUAUUUAAGCCUCUGAAUUGUAAUUUAUAACAAUAAUCAAUUUCCAAGAUCUAUAUACGGUCUUGCUUUGGAUUAAAUGUGAAUUUCAAGAGACAUUUAGUCAAACAUUUGUUGUAAUCUAGAGAUAAACCUUCACAUAAACCAGUCAGCAGGCAAAAAUUUCCACACCAAACGGUGAAAGACAUAUUACAACACAGAUGUUCAAAAUUCAAAAUAGCUUUUAUUCUAAAUUUUGUUUUAUACUUAAGGUUUAGUAUAAAAAAAGUUAAGUGCACCACAUUAUUCACUGGAGAUCAUUUUGUCAUGUAGCAAACUAGGAAGGACCUCGGUUCCAUGAUGCUGCAGUAUGCAUCCAUUAUAACCCAUCACAAUUAUUUUAUAUUAUAUAUAUAGAAAAAAAAAAUUAAAAGGGUUCCCUGAACUGUAGUGCCCACAAACACGUAUACCAUCCGUGACUGUCAUGGUAUUGAGGCUCAAGAUAAGCAGUGUAUCCGCUACAUUGCAUACACAAACACACGGUGGCACAUGCCAAGAUAAAAUGCUGCGCUAAAAUUGAAACAGAUAAGAGUUCUGAAGACUUUGCCCUCAUGUUUUUUUUUUUUGCCUUGAGUUAUUUUCAUAGCAAAGUAAAAAUAAAUGAAAUGGGAUUUGAAUACGUAAUAAAAAGUCAGGUUAGGAAUAACCAGGUCAGAAGUUUCAAACUCAAAUAACCAACAUGAGAAGUCACGGAAAAUUAUAUAAAUGGUGCUAAGGCAAUGCCAGCAUACUUGGCAUGUUUUUUUUAAAAAGACAUCAGAAUUUUUUGCUUUUUUUCUUUAUUUGCAGAUAGAAAAUCUACCUUAAUGUUUUUUUUAUUCAGAUGGGCAAAGCCUUUAGAACUAUAGUGUCGGAUACCCAGUGAUGCACCUGAUACACAUAAAGCCUAAAAAGUAGCCCCAUUUGCCAAGCUAUCAUGAAAUUCCCUAUUUUUUUUUUUGUUUCAUUUUUUUUUUAACCAAUCAGAAAAUAUAUACGACAAAAUGGCAAAAAAAUACCAGUGAAUGUAUGGAGAAUAAACUCAAGUGAGCAUUUUUAAGCAUUUCACCUCCAUUAUCUAGCAAAAAAAGCAGCACUUUAAAUUACAGUCACAUAUAAUACAGGUAACUGCUACAGAAUUGUAGUGUCAAGCAGACUUUUGAAGAGCAUUCCAGCACUGCUGGGAGUAGAAAUGAGGAUUUAGCAAUUAAAUAAAUUACAAGAGCAAAAAGUGGUGGAGACAACUGCUGGUGUAACUCGGUGAGGUUUUCCUUUCAUGUCAGGAAAAACAUUUUAAGUCACGUUACAGAUGUGAUGAAAACUGUAAUCCCUUGUGAAACAUUAACAAAUCAACACCCGAACACAAGCCGUUGUGUAUGCUACUACGUAUUACCG